AUGAUUUUUGAGUGUAGAGCGUACGUGAGGUUCGUGGCGGAGAACAAGCAUUCCGUGGUUCCCGUCGAAUUUAUCAAAGACUAUAAGGAGCCCUUUGAAUGCUCGGACACGGAGAUCCGCGAGGUAUUUUGGAGCAACAACAGCGACCACACGCCUGAGACCGUCAAAGCGAAAACUGGAAAGCUGUUGAACAUAGACGAGGAGAUGUCCAAAGCAAAAACUGGAAAAGAAAGGGAGAAAUUGAAGAACGCAGAAGGUUACUACAACGCCAAAGUCCUAAUAGUGAAAGGUAAUAAUGAGGAAUUGACCAAUUUCUUGGACACACGAGAGGGCAGGAGACUCCAAACUGUCAAAGGAAAAGUUGGGGACACAGGAGCAAAAUCCAGUGAUGUUAAGUCCAAGGAAUCAAGUUCUUCAAAACCAUUGAAGAGAAAGGCGAAUGACAAUCUGUUGAAGAGCGGUAUCAGCUACUCUGCCAGUAGGCUAUGUGGAGAGGUUAACCCCAUAAAACGGCUACGAAGCAAUUUGCUGAAGGGUUUUAGUGGAGUAGACUCCGAGGAAGAUUCAGGUGAUGACGAGAACCUUAUAGUAGAGAGCGAAAAGCAGGCAGCGGUGGAAGUUGUUGAGGCAAAGUGGAACGAGAAAUAUUCCAACCUUAAAGAUAAGUAUACAGAUCUAAAACGUAGGCAUGAUAAGGUAGUGGAAGAUUGUGAUGAUUACAGACGUAAGUAUGAGGUUGUAUUAGGAGAAUUACGAACAACUCACAAAGUAAAUCUCAGGCUACAGACCAUCCUUUGCGAUUCCCUAGAAAAAUAUAAUUUAAAAAUUUCAUUAAACACUGCUCCCUCUAAUCUUGACAAAAUUCCCUGCCAAGUCAACCAAAAUUCUCCUGUUUCGUUAGAGCAUCAAAAGGAAACCUUCUCAGACGCAGGAACCCAGAAAAACCCUACUCUUCCCACUUUUUCACCAGCAAACACCUCCUCACCCAUCAAUAGACAACAAUCUCCCACUUUUUCACCAGCAAGCACCUCCUCACCCAUCAAUAGACAACAAUCCACCUCCAUUAAGCCUUCUAUUAAGCUCAACACAGUAAAUCCGGAUGCUUCAGUAGACCUGUUUCAAUCACCCGUAUCAAAAACCAUCAUUUCACAAAAAUCUCCUUGUACGGCCAGAACGGAUUCUUCCUUUUCAUUAUCAUCUCCCCAGGUUUCAAAUUCUUUAGAUACCCCUAACUCUAUUAUUGACGAUUCAGAGUCGAGCAUAGUUACCGAAACAUCUGCAAAGAAGUACCGAACAUUGAAUGCUCAACAGUUAUCAAUGGCAUCUAGAUGCAGGUCUGGAACUGAAGGUGAUUCUGUUUUUAUCAGGAAUCUAUCGGAGAUGGUUUUCACUCGGGAAGUUUUAUUGAAAUCAAGUGUAUUUGGUAUAGCUAGUAAUGCCAAUAAAAAUGCAGCUGUAAAGCCACGACUAGAUGAAGAUGGUGUAGCCUAUAUUAGAACCCUUUUUGAAGAAAGAGUUAGGAAAGAAAACCCCGAAGUUCCUAAAGAAGCUCUUAAAACUCUCAUAAAGCUCCGAACAAAGCCCAUGAAUUCAAUGAUUUCAAGAAAAAUUAAAGAUUUAGUGAAUGCAGUAAAUGGAACAGGUAGAAAAAAACCUCAAGAAAUAUUCCGUGCUGCCCCUGUCCCAAAACCUUCCACAAGUACUUCUAAUGAAAUAGAAACGGAAGAUGCAAUUGUCUCUGAAGCUCAACCAUCUCUUGUAUUAGUCCAACCUGAAAUGCCCGACCUUACUUCGUAA
Molecule: long non-coding RNA, 1797 nt
Filed under: Bemisia tabaci
Lineage: Eukaryota; Metazoa; Arthropoda; Insecta; Hemiptera; Aleyrodidae
Description: lncRNA ENSSSA1UGG003522
Source: RNAcentral